RNAcentral lists this ribosomal RNA (500 nucleotides) under uncultured bacterium. RNAcentral describes it as "partial 16S ribosomal RNA". It matches the Rfam family "Bacterial small subunit ribosomal RNA", at positions 30 to 523 of the family's 1533-position model. The record is from RNAcentral.
AUUGAACGCUGGCGGCAUGCCUUACACAUGCAAGUCGAACGGCAGCACGGGAGCAAUCCUGGUGGCGAGUGGCGAGCGGGUGAGUAAUAUAUCGGAACGUGCCCAGUCGUGGGGGAUAACGCAGCGAAAGCUGUGCUAAUACCGCAUACGAUCUAAGGAUGAAAGCGGGGGAUCGCAAGACCUCGCGCGAUUGGAGCGGCCGAUAUCAGAUUAGCUAGUUGGUGGGGUAAAGGCCCACCAAGGCGACGAUCUGUAGCUGGUCUGAGAGGACGAACAGCCACACUGGAACUGAGACACGGUCCAGACUCCGACGGGAGGCAGCAGUGGUGAAUUUUAGACGAUGGGCGCAAGCCUGAUCUAGCAAUGUCGCGUGCAGGAUGAAGGCCUUCGGGUUGUAAACUGCUUUUGUACGGAACGAAACGGCCCUUUCUAAUACAGGGGGCUAAUGACGGUACCGUAAGAAUAAGCACCGGCUAACUACGUGCCAGCCGCCGCAGUAA